GACGAACGCUGGUGGCGUGCUUAACACAUGCAAGUCGAACGGAAAGGCCCUGCUUUUGUGGGGUGCUCGAGUGGCAAACGGGUGAGUAACACGUGAGUAACCUGCCCUUGACUUUGGGAUAACUUCAGGAAACUGGGGCUAAUACCGGAUAGGAGCUCCUGCUGCAUGGUGGGGGUUGGAAAGUUUCGGCGGUUGGGGAUGGACUCGCGGCUUAUCAGCUUGUUGGUGGGGUAGUGGCUUACCAAGGCUUUGACGGGUAGCCGGCCUGAGAGGGUGACCGGCCACAUUGGGACUGAGAUACGGCCCAGACUCCUACGGGAGGCAGCAGUGGGGAAUAUUGCACAAUGGGCGGAAGCCUGAUGCAGCAACGCCGCGUGCGGGAUGACGGCCUUCGGGUUGUAAACCGCUUUCGCCUGUGACGAAGCGUGAGUGACGGUAAUGGGUAAAGAAGCACCGGCUAACUACGUG
Molecule: ribosomal RNA, 468 nt
Filed under: uncultured bacterium
Lineage: Bacteria
Description: partial 16S ribosomal RNA
Rfam family: Bacterial small subunit ribosomal RNA
Source: RNAcentral